GGAAUUUUGGACAAUGGGCGCAAGCCUGAUCCAGCCAUGCCGCGUGUCUGAAGAAGGCCUUCGGGUUGUAAAGGACUUUUGUCAGGGAAGAAAAGGAUAGGGUUAAUACCCCUGUCUGAUGACGGUACCUGAAGAAUAAGCACAGGCUAACUACGUGCCAGCAUCCGCGGUAAUACGUAGGGUGCGCGCGUUAAUCGGAAUUACUGGGCGUAAAGCGAGCGCAGACGGUUACUUAAGCAGGAUGUGAAAUCCCCGGGCUCAACCUGGGAACUGCGUUCUGAACUGGGUGACUAGAGUGUGUCAGAGGGAGGUAGAAUUCCACGUGUAGCAGUGAAAUGCGUAGAGAUGUGGAGGAAUACCGGUGGCGAAGGCAGCCUCCUGGGAUAACACUGACGUUCAUGCUCGAAAGCGUGGGUAGCAAAC
Molecule: ribosomal RNA, 423 nt
Filed under: uncultured bacterium
Lineage: Bacteria
Description: bacterial SSU rRNA
Rfam family: Bacterial small subunit ribosomal RNA
Source: RNAcentral